RNAcentral lists this long non-coding RNA (1245 nucleotides) under Chinchilla lanigera (long-tailed chinchilla). RNAcentral describes it as "lncRNA (ENSCLAG00000027497.1)". Lineage: Eukaryota; Metazoa; Chordata; Mammalia; Rodentia; Chinchillidae. The record is from RNAcentral.
CCGAGAUACAGAAACCUAGAAUAGGAAGGGCUGACUAAUUCUUCCAGCAGGCGGACUUGGAGCUUGAGCUAGAGGUUAUGUGUGGUAGACUUACUAUCUCCUGCAUCUGUGUGUUUUCCCCUGGCAAAGAGGGAGGCAUCUUAGUACCUUCCUCUUCAGGUGAUUGUGAGGCAUAAACAUGGUCCAGUGGUUAGGUCCAUGCUUGGCACAUAGCAAGCCUUCAGUAAAUGUUGGCUUCUGUUCUCUGCAGAACUGAUACAUCCAGACAUACCACGAGGAAAAAACAGAAACAAAAGUGAAGAACUUGGAAGCCCUUUUGUUCUGCAGUGCGUGUGAAUACCAGGCCCCUUGUUGUCCUCUGGGACCACAAGCUGGGAAAUAAAGUACCUAGUGGGGCUCUGCUGGCUCCCAGCUCUGAUGGAAGCAAACCUCACAAGAAAGACACCUUCAGAGGCUGUGGCAGGUUUCUCUCAGGAGAUGAGAAUCACACUGAGGAAAAGUAACCCAGACUCUUGGGAACCCCUGAGCAGUCCGGAAUUGAUCUGUAAGCUCCACGUGUUCCAGCGUCAUAAGAAUAGGAAAAUGAGUGAGACACAAGGUGAAGAGACAACAGCCAAGGAGGAGAAAGCGAUGUGCUUUCAGUCUGCCUGAAUGGUAGUGAGCCUCGCUUGAAUGGCAGGAGCUGGUCAGGAUGGGAGGUGACGUUUUUGAGGCUACGGCAGAAUGGCUGUUCGUCCUUCUAAUUCAAGACAUCUCUGAAACACCUUCCCAUUCAGUCUACAUAUUUCCAGGCCCAGCUCCUUGGAUCUCAUGUCUUCCCUGAAUGUGUUCUGUUGUCCACUUGCAACCCGCAUAACUGAUGGAAUCACGUCCUACAGAGCACUGCGUGGGAUCUAAAGGUCUCUUUAAGGUUGGGACGAUGCUGCAGGAAUCAAUAAAAGCUGCACUCACCUGACUAGACCGUGUGCAGCCCUGAGGAAUGUGCUUCUCUUGUGCUGUGUCUGUGACAGCUCUUUGAGAUGGGUAUUCAUUCCAUCCCAUUUAAAGAUGAGCUAACUGAGGGUCAGGUAUGUUGCACACAGCUAGUUUCUAGCAGAGUGGGGACUGGAGGCCUGGCAGGCAAGAUGCCCUCCCAUCUAAGGCCCAGGAACUAAGCUACCCUGCUCUCUUUGCAGCCCCUCAGACUUUAAGUGAUGCAUGGUUAAUUCAGCCUGCAGCAGCUGAAUUAAUAUUAGUGGUCCCGAG